AAACCAGCACCUCAAGUGGUCAGGAUGAUUAUUGGGCCUAAAGCAUCCGUAGCCGGCUCUGUAAGUUUUCGGUUAAAUCUGUACGCUUAACGUACAGGCUGCUGGGAAUACUGCAGAGCUAGGGAGUGGGAGAGGUAGACGGUACUCGGGAGGAAGUGGUAAAAUGCUUUGAUCUCUCGAUGACCACCUGUGGCGAAGGCGGUCUACCAGAACACGUUCGACGGUGAGGGAUGAAAGCUGGGGGAGCAAACCGGAUUAGAAACCCGGGUAGUCC
Molecule: ribosomal RNA, 274 nt
Filed under: uncultured bacterium
Lineage: Bacteria
Description: partial 16S ribosomal RNA
Rfam family: Archaeal small subunit ribosomal RNA
Source: RNAcentral